GCCUAGUUGCCAGCAUUUAGUUGGGCACUCUAAGGGGACUGCCGUGAUAAGCCGAGAGGAAGGUGGGAUGACGUCAAGUCCUCAUGGCCCUUACGGGCUGGGCUACACACGUGCUACAAUGGUGGUGACAGUGGGCAGCGAGACCGCGAGGUCGAGCUAAUCUCCAAAAGCCAUCUCAGUUCGGAUUGCACUCUGCAACUCGAGUGCAUGAAGUUGGAAUCGCUAGUAAUCGCAGAUCAGCAUGCUGCGGUGAAUACGUUCCCGGGCCUU
RNAcentral lists this ribosomal RNA (270 nucleotides) under uncultured Ensifer sp. Its description in RNAcentral is "partial 16S ribosomal RNA". It matches the Rfam family "Bacterial small subunit ribosomal RNA", at positions 1109 to 1382 of the family's 1533-position model. The record is from RNAcentral. Lineage: Bacteria; Pseudomonadati; Pseudomonadota; Alphaproteobacteria; Hyphomicrobiales; Rhizobiaceae.